GCUAUUAGCUGUGCUGAGGGUCGAUGCUAACAUUAAUGGGGUGCAUGAAUGUGGGAAUGCUUGUGAGCCAGUGGGUGAAGGUGUGUGCUUCCACUGGGGAACUGCAGUCCUGAUUAGCCUGAGAGGAGGAACAGGGCUUGGCUCUGAGCUUCGGGCUUAUAAGAGAACUGGUGUUGUUACCUGUGGGUGUUGCUAUGGCAGUGAGUGCCCUGCCUGUGCAGCCAGCAGAGUCAUUUCCAGCAGCUCUGCCGUCUUGGGGCUGGGAGGUGGUUUUCUGCCUCUUGCUCACUCACAAACAGGAGGCUCGGUCUCAGCAUGCACCACAGCUCUCUCGUCCUCACUGUCUUCCUGGGACAACUGCUGGGUGCCGUGGGGCAGACCAUUGUCAGCCAGCAAGAAGGACAGGUCACAGUGCAGGAGAGAAACACCUUCCAGACCACCUGCACAUACCAGGCAACUAACUUUUAUGCCUUGUUUUGGUACCAGCAGAAGAAAGGCCAAGCUCCCCAGCUGGUCACAUAUCAGGCAGCAGCAGGCUCCAAGCAGAACGGCCGUUUCACCACGUGGCUGAACACCACCGGGAAAUACAGCCUGCUGCGGCUGGCAGAAGUCGAGCUGUCUGACAGCGCCUUGUACCUCUGUGCUGUGCAGGACACCCUGGUGCAGGGAGCUUCCUCGGCCGUGCAACAACCCCAGGGAGGGAGGAGUGGCUGUAAGCAGAGCCGAGGUGCAGCAGGAACCGUUGGCAGCGACCACCGAGGACAUCGUAGUCAGCAUCACCUGCUCACACCCCAACAUUCAGUCUUACAGUGAUAUAUACUGGUACCGUCAGUUCCCGGGCCGGAGCCCCGCAUUCAUCGGGUUCAUUUAUGAAGGUUCCAAGGACGUGCCGGACCCGGCGGGGCAGCUGUCG
This is a non-coding RNA of Centrocercus urophasianus (Greater sage-grouse), 913 nucleotides long. NCBI's taxonomy places the organism in Eukaryota, Metazoa, Chordata, Aves, Galliformes, Phasianidae. The record is from the annotation of a RefSeq genome assembly.